AACACAGUACAACAUUGACACUUGCCGUUUCACAACAACACGAAUAGCUUGAGCUUCGCAGAUAAAUGCCAGUUUUGUGAAGUUGGUGUAUCAUUUAUGAUUUUACUCGGGCUGCAUGCAUAGGCUACUCUUAAACAUGGGAUAGCAGGUAUUGUCAGCUCACUGAAUUCACACCAUGGUUUCGCUUUCAUGGCUGGAGAGUCUCAGCGGCGCAGAACUCUCGCACGUACACAUAACUUUGCUAGUAUUCUUGCUAGUGUUUUAUACAGUUAAGGUUAUUAAUCAGAACCGACGGGACCUGGCAAAUAUCCCGCCAGGUCCGAAGCCGUGGCCCUUAGUCGGUAACUUCGGCGGCUUUCUCAUCCCCUCUUUCAUCCGGCAGAGGUUUGGACAGCAAUCAGACGGCACCGUCAAAAACGCUAUGGUUGUAUUAACGGAACAAGCCAACGUGUAUGGUAACGUGUACAGCCUUUUUGUAGGGAGUCAGUUGAUGGUUGUGCUUAAUGGCUAUGAAGUGGUCAAGGAUGCACUCUCAAACCAUUCCAAGGUGUUCUCCGACAGGCCAGAUAUCCCUGCUAUCACUAUCAUGACGAAACGCAAAGGAAUAGUCUUUGCACCUUAUGGGCCAGUGUGGAAAAAGCAGCGCAAAUUCUGCCACGCCACACUCCGAAACUUUGGCCUGGGGAAGUUGAGCUUGGAGCCUUGCAUCCUUCGAGGCCUGGCUACCGUCAAGACAGAGCUGAUGCGACUGAAUGAGGGGUCGGGUGCCGCUGGUGUGGACCUGGCCCCGCUGAUCAGAAACGCCGUGUCAAACGUCAUCUGCUCGCUGAUCCUGGGACAGAGCUUCCAUCACGAAGACCGCCAGUUCCGUAAUAUGCUGGACCUGAUGGAUCGUGGGCUGGAGAUCUCUGUGAACAGUCCUGCAGUCCUCAUCAACAUCUUCCCACUGCUGUACUACUUUCCUUUUGGGGUCUUCAAGGAGUUGCGUCAGGUGGAAGGAGACAUCACGGUGUUUCUGAAGAGGGUUAUUGCAAAUCACCGGGAAACAUUCAAUCCUGACCACCCGAGGGAUCUUGUCGACAUGUACUUGAAGGAGAUUUCGGUCCAGGAGGACAGCAGCUUCACAGAAGAUUAUCUCUUUUAUAUAAUAGGAGAUCUCUUCAUCGCUGGCACUGACACCACCGCUAAUUCUAUUUUGUGGAUUCUGCUCUACAUGGUCUUACACCCUGAUAUCCAAGACAGGGUCCAGGCAGAGAUUGAUGAAGUGGUGGGUACACAUCGGGACCCGUCUAUGACUGAUAAGGGAAGUUUGCCUUUUACUGAAGCCACUAUCAUGGAGGUGCAGAGACUGACUGUUGCGGUUCCUCUGGCUAUUCCUCACAUGGCCUCCAAGACAACAGAAUUCAUAAAAAAAGAUGCUAUAGAGCUGCUGCAGAAACCAAGAACAUUUACAAAAAGAGUUCAGAGGCUACACUAUUCCCAAAGGAACCGUUAUUGUGCCCAACCUGUGGUCUGUCCAUAGAGAUCCCACUCUGUGGGACGACCCAGACAGUUUCAACCCAGGACGCUUCUUGGACAAUGAGGGAAAGUUGCUCAGGAUAGAAUGCUUCAUACCAUUCGGGAUUGGUCCCAGGGUGUGCAUGGGUGAACAGCUGGCGAAGAUGGAGCUGUUCCUGGCGGUUAGCAGCUUACUGCAGGCCUUCAGAUUCAGACUGCCAGAGGGAACGCCUCCUCCUACCCUGAACGGACGAUUUGGCCUGACGCUGGCACCCUGUCCAUACACUGUGUGUGUGCACCCUCGUAGAUGAAGUGGAAUAUUUGGUUCUCACAAAUCUGCUGUAAAUCAAGGAGCUUUACCAACCAAGCUGUGGGUAAAGCUCUCCUGGAGUGACAGUGUAAUCAGUGCAAAAUAGAAGAAGUAUGUUUUGAUUGGAGUGUAGCUCUUUUGCUAAUGGACUUAUGGCUGCAUAUCACGUCAUUAUCAGUUAAUUUAAUGAUUAUUCAAGCAAUAAUUUAGUCCAUAAUAUUCCAGAAGCAAAUACCCAUCAGAAGUGGCCAUAAUUUAAAGUGAUGUCUUACAGUACGUAAUACAUUUACAAUUAUAUGAUUCAGAACAGCUGCAAUAAACCCUCUAAUUUAAAGAGCUGGAACCAGCUAAUGUUUUUUAUAUUUACUUGAUAGUCAAGUAAUAAUUAAGGUAUAUAAUCAAAAUUCUGUUAAUUAUUUUGGUCAAUCAGCCACUUGAUUAAUAAGGUCAGUAUUAUAUGCCAGAUGCCUUUGAUUUUGUAAGAUACCUGUUCAAUAUCUGUAUUGAUAUUUUAUCAUGUUACUGUUUUAUAAUGCAUGCCACUGAUUUAUAGAACUUGGCACACAUAUCUGUCCCUAUAAUGUUCUUUAUUAGGGCAAUAGGGAAAGAAAUAUUUUUUUAAGAAUUUAGAUAUAUAUUUUCCUUACAGACUAAAUGGAUGAAUGGAUUGCUGGGAACGUGUCAAUAAAAAGAGAUUAUCCUAACAAUAAUUAC
RNA transcript from Sander lucioperca (pikeperch), 2521 nucleotides. It is a transcript of the gene named cytochrome P450 2U1, with no coding region annotated. The record is from RefSeq and is a predicted model, not a curated record. Lineage: Eukaryota; Metazoa; Chordata; Actinopteri; Perciformes; Percidae. The transcript has 6 exons.